AGUUGAGUUGAGUUGAGUUUUAUAACAGGGAAAAUUUUUCAGUUUUUUUAGAUGCUUCUCUUUUGCAAUUUUCUGUUCUGCAUAGUGUUUUGUAAAAUAUGUAUUUCAUGCUAUAACCGUGAGUGUAAACUGUAAAUCUGAAGCUUCUUUACUAUGGGGUAAAUAAGAUCUCGGCGUUUACAUGUGGCAACUAAAUCAGGAGCUGAUUUGCUUCGUGAAUGGUGUAAUUCAUAUGAUAUUUCAGUAUCAUCUUCAAUUUGGCCUGCUUGUAAAUUUUAUAGAGAUCUGAAUUGGAAAUAGGAAAUUUGGUAUAUGCACUAGCAUCUAGAGAUUAAUUGCUGGAUUGCAUAAAUUUGGUUCUAUGUAUUUCAUGCUGUUACCAUGAUUGAGAACUGCAAAUCAGAAGCUUCUUCACUAUGGGGUAAUGAAAAAAGAUAAAGCAUCUAUUUGUGAAAACUAAACCAGGGGCAGCUAAUUGUUUUGGUUAAAGACAAUUCUCUUGAGUCAUGAUGGUUCAAUGUCCUCUUGAAUUUGGUGUACCGAACUUUGGAGAUAAAUUAGAAUAUGAACUAGAAAUUAGAGUUUAAUUGUUGGGUUACAUACACUUGGUUUUAUGGUCAGAAGUGCUUUUUGAAGAGAACUUAAUUUUGUUUUUCCCAGAAAUAUGUUUUCUUUAGUUGGUUAAGAUGAGUAAGAAGG
Molecule: unclassified non-coding RNA, 699 nt
Filed under: Hevea brasiliensis (rubber tree)
Lineage: Eukaryota; Viridiplantae; Streptophyta; Magnoliopsida; Malpighiales; Euphorbiaceae
Source: RNAcentral